This 460-nucleotide ribosomal RNA is filed under the name uncultured bacterium. RNAcentral describes it as "partial 16S ribosomal RNA". It matches the Rfam family "Bacterial small subunit ribosomal RNA", at positions 338 to 795 of the family's 1533-position model. The record is from RNAcentral.
CCUACGGGCGGCAGCAGUGAGGAAUAUUGGUCAAUGGACGAGAGUCUGAACCAGCCAAGUAGCGUGAAGGAUGACUGCCCUAUGGGUUGUAAACUUCUUUUAUAUGGGAAUAAAAUGUUCCACGUGUGGGAUUUUGUAUGUAUCAUAUGAAUAAGGAUCGGCUAACUCCGUGCCAGCAGCCGCGGUAAUACGGAGGAUCCGAGAGUUAUCCGGAUUUAUUGGGUUUAAAGGGUGCGUAGGUGGAUUGUUAAGGCAGUUGUGAAAGUUUGCGGCUCAACCGUAAAAUUGCAGUUGAAACUGGCAGUCUUGAGUACAGUAGAGGUGGGCGGAAUUCGUGGUGUAGCGGUGAAAUGCUUAGAUAUCACGAAGAACUCCGAUUGCGAAGGCAGUUCACUGGACUGCAACUGACACUGAGGCUCGAAAGUGUGGGUAUCAAACAGGAUUAGAUACCCCAGUAGUC